This 2963-nucleotide long non-coding RNA is filed under the name Bemisia tabaci. Its description in RNAcentral is "lncRNA ENSASIAIIG005319". The record is from RNAcentral. Lineage: Eukaryota; Metazoa; Arthropoda; Insecta; Hemiptera; Aleyrodidae.
CCGGCCAACGCCAACGCAUUCCCCAAGAUGUUCACUCCGUCGCUCCUGCAGCAAUUCUACAUGCAAAACCCGAAAGUCAUCUCAAAUCUCUACCAGAAACUCAAGGCAGAUAAUCCUCUGAAACCGGAAAGUCAAAUCAACGGGAUGCUGCAGCAGUGCGUAAUGGGAUACUUGAACGCAGCCAUGGCUCAAAGUCAGCAUAGCAUGAAUCAAGGUAUGCCUUCGGCUCCACCGACUGCCGCACCUGCCGCAGCACCCAGCGGGCCAAUACCCAUGCCUCCACCGAGCGGACCUAUCCCCAUGCCGCCCCCGGGUGGAGCCAUCCCCAUGCCUGCCCCAGGCGGGGCGCCAAGCACAGCGAAAUAAGCGCAGACUCCAUGGCUGUACCCUUGUAAAUUCUCUCCUUUUCUUUCGUUUGUAGACUAUAUUGCAGCUUUCUUAUCGGUGCGCCUCCACUGUUCAUAAAUCAUCGCUUCCCCCCCCCCCUAGCUCUUUUAGUAACCGUCUGUAGGAAAUCAGUGUUUCUGCACAAAGAGAAAAAAGGAGGUGGUUACUACUUAUGAUUUGUUUACCAUGUGAUGUAGGUUGGCUCAACAAGGCGUCAGUUUUUCAGAAGAAUUCUAAGUUCAAAUUAUGAAAAACGAACCAUUUUUUGUUUAGGUGAAUUCUAAAUAUAAUUUCAAAAUUUUAAACAGAAUGACUUUUUUCCAUUAACUACACCAUUUUUAAGAAAAUCGAUGAUAAAAAGCGUCUGUGCCCAUCUACGUCAUAGAUUCAAUCUAAAAUGCCUAAAAUAAGACCACCUCCUUUGUUUUCUCUAUGGUGUUAGGGGGAAUUAGUCCUAGGACUUUAUUAUUAGUUUUCAUAUGUAUUGUAUUCAGGCAUGUCCUCGCAACAGAAUAGGCUGUGAACAGAAAGGUUAAUUGAUGGAAAGGCCAAAAAGGAAACAAAUUCUCAGAGACACAUUAUUUCAUGAUUGGUGAGCGGCCUCUCGCUUCAGCCAUGUUCUCUACUUCAGCCUGAUGUCACCUUUGCACUUGGCAACGCUUCUUCAAAUUAAACGUGAAGAUACAAGGAGAUUUUUUUGAUCGAUUGUUUAAUUGUUCUGAAGACAUGCCUGUUCAUAUCUUUCAUCUAUCAUAUUCACCAACACACCACAGAAUAAUAUUCUUUCAGCCAAGCUUUCCCCUUCGCUGUUUGUAAUUUUUGACAGUUAUCAAAUUUAACGCUCAAUUUUUUUUUUUUUUUUUUUUUUUUUUUAAAAACAAAAGUUUGAAAUAAGAUCUGAACUUUUUGGAAUCUUUUUCCUGUUCCUUCUAUAACUGUUAUUUACUUCAUCAAUAGUUGUAAACUUUUGCCAAAGCCUAAAAAAAGGUGUUUCGUGUGUAAAUUUCUCAAUAAGUGCAUUUGCAAUGUCUAGUUUUCACUCAAUCACCUCAUCCUUAGGAUCUCGCAUCCUCAUCGUCCCUUUAAAUAUCACAUUCUUGCUAAAGUGUAAAUUAACGUCUAGAAUUCGAUAACUUGCAUAAGAUGCAAAAUGACUGACAUUACAUGAUAUGCAUCUCUAUUGAAAAUGAACAACAAAGUAAUUGCUACUUUUGUUCUUAUUUUCAUAACUUUGCUCCAUAUUUUUAAACCACAUUCGUUCCUUUGACUCAAUAUAUAAAUCAUUCAUCGUAAAUUAUUUUAUCUUUUCAAUCCGGUAAGCUCACAGUAGCGCAGUCUUUAGCGCAAAUUUUCAAGGUGAGAGUUAAUUGCAGAUCUUACAAAUGCACCAGUUGAGACUUCUCAUUAAAUUAUUCACAUGAACUAAUUAGUUCUAUCCCUAAAAUGUUUGAUGCAGCAUUGAAAAUUUCUGUGUGUUGCAGUUUUUAACAUCACACAGUGUCCAUUCCGAUUUCUGUAAAGCAGCUGGCCCAUGCUAUAAAUGUGUCUUAUCAAUUUAGUAAAAUUAUAUUACCUGUGGUAGGGUGUACCUAUAUGGGUGUGCAAUAUGCAACAACAUAGUGUACCUAUAACACUCUUGCAUCCCUUUUUAGAAGUUUUUAGAGCAUAACACAAUGAUUUCUCUAGUUAGUAUUUUAAGGGUUGAUUUUCAUGGAAUUGUUAUAGCUUACUAAAUGUACAUAUUAUUUUUUGUUGUUCUAUUUAUUCUGUCCCAAUUCUAUAGGGAGUAGUAUAACUAUUUUAUGGAGUGAAUUUUAUUAAAUUUUGAUGAGUAUUUCUUCAUAGAAUUUGUUUAGUCUCUUAAGGGAUGAAACAGUUCGAAGUUCUGGGAACGAUAAAAAUUUUAAGAGAUAACAAUUUUUAGCGAUCACAAUUUAUAGGUAGACUCUGAACAAGUGAAAGCUAAUUUUCUUCUCUUCUCUUUUUCAACGUUUCAUCCUCUAAAAAUUAAUUCCACUUCACUCAGUUUCCAUAACAUCAUUUAAAUUUAAUUUAAUUUCGAUUUAAUUUGUUACUCAAUUACACGGAAAGUGGUGUGCAAUGAGUGGCUUCAACAACCCACAAGUUCCUUUUUUAUUAAUUUAGUCAAAAAAAUUUGAAGUUAUUUUGGUAAUUAUAAAUUAUUAUAGAUUCCUUCUUUGUACAUACGGCUUCAGUGUUGUGAUAAACACUUUUGUAUUAGGAUGUCAUAGUAUUAGGGCAGAAAAUGUUAAUUCUUUUUCGUGUAAACUUUUGGAGUCCCCUCAUGUGUUAAUAUAUUUUUAUUUGUAUUUAUAACCAAUCAUUGAUACAUUUUUUUUUAUUUUAUUAUUAUGAUAUUAUUUUUUUUUCAUUAAAUGGUACUUCCUGGUAUUCUGAAUAAAAUGUCUUCUAUAUUAGAUUGAGUUGCUUUAUAUUCUUCAUGAACCUUAGAUAACAUGUCAGCAUCAUCACCUUGACUCCUCAAAUUGUCAUUCUGACGCCUGAUUGUUGUUUGAAAGAGACAUAGUCAAUUUCAUCAGUUUAAGUGACAGACU